This 301-nucleotide ribosomal RNA is filed under the name uncultured bacterium. RNAcentral's name for it is "partial 16S ribosomal RNA". It matches the Rfam family "Bacterial small subunit ribosomal RNA", at positions 509 to 807 of the family's 1533-position model. The record is from RNAcentral.
CAGUCGCCGCGGGAAUACAGAGGGUGCGAGCGUUAAUCGGUUUUACUGGGCGUAAAGCGUGCGUAGGCGGCUUUUUAAGUCGGAUGUGAAAUCCCUGAGCUUAACUUAGGAAUUGCAUUCGAUACUGGGAAGCUAGAGUAUGGGAGAGGAUGGUAGAAUUCCAGGUGUAGCGGUGAAAUGCGUAGAGAUCUGGAGGAAUACCGAUGGCGAAGGCAGCCAUCUGGCCUAAUACUGACGCUGAGGUACGAAAGCAUGGGGAGCAAACAGGAUUAGAUACCCGCGUAGUCCCUGUCUCUUAUAC